This 75-nucleotide transfer RNA is filed under the name Endocronartium harknessii PhW48OC. Its description in RNAcentral is "tRNA-Thr (AGT) (tRNA-Thr-AGT-6-1)". It matches the Rfam family "tRNA". From Rfam's summary of the family: Transfer RNA (tRNA) molecules are approximately 80 nucleotides in length. Their secondary structure includes four short double-helical elements and three loops (D, anti-codon, and T loops). Lineage: Eukaryota; Fungi; Basidiomycota; Pucciniomycetes; Pucciniales; Coleosporiaceae. The record is from RNAcentral.
GUGUCUAUAGCCUAGUGGUAAAAGGCAGCACUCUAGUAUAGUGUGAGGUUGUGGGUUUGAAUCCCACCAGACAUA